AAGGUCAUCUCCGGCGCCAGUCUAGUUGCCAUAGUGAUACCAGCGGCUUGCUCCAAGUUAUUUCCUUGCGCGGCUUAAACGAGAGUCUGAAAUGAUUUAUUUUAGUCGGCGUGCGCUUGAGAGAAUUUAUAUGUUUAUACUAUUGGGCAUUGUGCUUAUUUCCUGGGGAUUUGUUAUUUAUGCUACAAGAACAGCUGCAAAAUGGCAACUUGAACUUGAUUUUAAGACCAAUCUUAAUUCCUAAUUGCUUUUUCCAAGAGGAUUUUAACAAUAUGGUCAAAGAAACGGAAACACCUAGCUGCUUUUGUGGAUGCCUGCUAUGUGUGAAUUUCUUGCACCUUUCAUUGCAUUACCAAUGGAAAAAGAAACUGCAACUGGUAGAAAGAGCCCAUUUCACUUCAGAUUGUGAAUUACAGUAAACAGAACGUUAAUGUAA
This is a long non-coding RNA of Polypterus senegalus (gray bichir), 436 nucleotides long. RefSeq lists it as uncharacterized. The record is from RefSeq and is a predicted model, not a curated record. The transcript has 2 exons. Lineage: Eukaryota; Metazoa; Chordata; Cladistia; Polypteriformes; Polypteridae.